RNAcentral lists this ribosomal RNA (253 nucleotides) under uncultured bacterium. RNAcentral describes it as "partial 16S ribosomal RNA". It matches the Rfam family "Bacterial small subunit ribosomal RNA", at positions 524 to 776 of the family's 1533-position model. The record is from RNAcentral.
UACGUAGGUGGCAAGCGUUGUCCGGAUUUACUGGGCGUAAAGAGCGCGCAGGCGGUCGGAUAAGUCGAAUGUGAAAGCCCCUGGCUCAACCAGGGAGGGUCAUUCGAUACUGUUCGACUCGAAGGCAGGAGAGGGAAGUGGAAUUCCGGGUGUAGUGGUGAAAUGCGCAGAUAUCAGGAAGAACACCCGUGGCGAAGGCGGCUCUCUGGGACGGUACUGACGCUGAGACGCGAAAGCGUGGGGAGCGAACAGG